UGGGCUUGACAUGCCGCGAGUAGGAACCUGAAAGGGGACCGACCGGUUCAGUCCGGAAGCGGAAC
RNAcentral lists this ribosomal RNA (65 nucleotides) under uncultured organism. RNAcentral describes it as "partial 16S ribosomal RNA". The record is from RNAcentral.